This is a long non-coding RNA of Lathyrus oleraceus (garden pea), 695 nucleotides long. RefSeq lists it as uncharacterized. The record is from RefSeq and is a predicted model, not a curated record. The transcript is spliced from 2 exons. NCBI's taxonomy places the organism in Eukaryota, Viridiplantae, Streptophyta, Magnoliopsida, Fabales, Fabaceae.
AGGGGGUGAGGAUAGAAGGUUUGGGCCUUAGAACCAAAUAGCUCCAAGCAAAUCGGAUCCAAAUCCACGGGUUCAUGAUCCAGGUCUAUGCAUCAAACUGAACCAGGUCAAUGCAUCGAUUCUCAGCAGUGCAAACAAAAUUUUCACCCUUCAUCCACAAUCUCACGCGUUCUCUCCCUCUCUCAUAUCAUUUCAAAAAACUCGAUGAACACUCAAAUCAAUUUCAAAGUUCAAGCUUCAAAUCAACAUCUAACCUCACCGAAUUGCUGGUGCAUGCGAGGUAUGAGAAGAACGCGAAAUCGCGACACACAGAUCAUGGAUUGAAGCAAGAAGGCAGAAGGAAACUCACCGGAUUCAAAUCUUGACCCGGUGGAAAAAACAGUUUCCACUUGGUGCUGCGGGGCUUGGCGUGUUGCUUGCCUUGAAGUCCUUCUGCUAUUUGAUGGCAUGCUUGGAAUAUGUGUGCAACUGACUUGUUUAGAAUUAAAUUGGGAGUUUGGGAUUGGAUUAUAGGUUGUAUAUGGCUUGAUCCUUUGUAGUGAUUUGUAAUGGGAAUGCAUUUAAUGUGGGAAAUUGUAGUUUAGGGAAUGGAAUUAUAAUGGAAUGUUUAUGAAAUUGAAUUUGUAUGGAACAUGUAAUUGAAUUGUAUGGCUAUUGAAUUGAAUGAAUGGGAUUAUGUGGAAAAUUGUAUGAGA